GGCGCACGGGUGCGUAACGCGUAUGCAACCUACCUCAUACUGGAGAAUAGCCCUUGGAAACGAGGAUUAAUGCUCCAUAGUAUCACAGAUUCGCAUGUUUUUGUGAUUAAAGAAUUUCGGUAUGAGAUGAGCAUGCGUCCCAUUAGUUAGUUGGUAAGGUAACGGCUUACCAAGACAGCGAUGGGUAGGGGCCCUGAGAGGGGGAUCCCCCACACUGGUACUGAGACACGGACCAGACUCC
This 241-nucleotide ribosomal RNA is filed under the name uncultured bacterium. RNAcentral's name for it is "partial 16S ribosomal RNA". It matches the Rfam family "Bacterial small subunit ribosomal RNA", at positions 97 to 339 of the family's 1533-position model. The record is from RNAcentral.